Molecule: long non-coding RNA, 350 nt
Filed under: Gossypium barbadense (sea-island cotton)
Lineage: Eukaryota; Viridiplantae; Streptophyta; Magnoliopsida; Malvales; Malvaceae
Description: long non-coding RNA (GBAR_LNC013005)
Source: RNAcentral
CAUAUUAUGUUUCCCUUUAGAGUAGAGUAGAGACUGUGUCUGUUGUUAAACUUUCUCUAAAAAAGCAGGGUUUUGGUUGGAAAUUUUACAUGUUUAAAAAUUGUUAAGUACUCGUUGUGUUUGGAAACAUUGCAUGUAUGAAAUGUGAAGAUGGAGAUGGAAGAAUGAAGCAGAGGUUGAGGCAGGGCACGGAAGACUUUUACUUUAUUUGGAUUAGGAUUUCAGUUGUAAUUGUAAUAAGUGAGAUUUUGCUUUGGAUAUAUCAAAUGGCUUCAUAUGGGAUGUUUGUUUGAUAUGUAUCAACUUUUAGCUUUAUUCAUAUUUAUCUUAAUUUUCUCAUCCUUCCUUUC